Molecule: long non-coding RNA, 1972 nt
Organism: Salvia miltiorrhiza (redroot sage)
Lineage: Eukaryota; Viridiplantae; Streptophyta; Magnoliopsida; Lamiales; Lamiaceae
Exons: 4
Source: RefSeq, a predicted model, not a curated record
ACACUAGCCAAUUUCAAUUAAAAAAUAACUCCCUCCCACGUACCCACUCUAACUCUAUCCUCUCCCAUCUCAAACUCACUCUUCUGUCGUCUGUAUUCACAAACCCUCAGCCCUCUUCCUCAAUCGCCGUUGUCUGUAAGCCGCCCUCUCCCUAAACCGCCGUUUUCAGCAUCAAACUCGUCCUCUCCCUCAAAUCCGCCAUCUCUCUCCCUUAAAGCGCGGUCUUUCUCACAUCUCUCUCCCGUCACCGCGCCGCCAACACCACGUCGCCGUCUGUAUGCCGCCAUCACCACGCCGCAUCGUGCCACCCCUGGUCAGUCGGCACAGCCACGACCACCUCCUGCUCGGCACAACCAAACGGUCCAAACUCUUGUGAAUCAAACCCUUGCGAAUGGUGGUUGCAUCAAUUCCCCUGCUCCAAAUACAAACCCUCUUCCAAACCUUUGGCCCUUUGCUGGUAGUAAGUCUCAAUUAUACAUUUUUUUCUUUCAUUUUCUAAUAUUUUAUUGUUCGAAAGACAAUUAUUGAUUUUUGCUAAAAAUUUCUUAUACAUACUUGAGUAUACAGUGAGAAGAAUUGUCUGAAAUUAGUCUUCUCUGCUAGUUUUACCUCUGAAAUUCAAGAUUAAAAAUUGCAACUCGAUCUAUAUACAAGUUAAAUUAUAAGAAAAUUCAUUGUGACGUGAUUUUUUGUUUACAAUAUUUAUUAGGACUGGUGGUCUAGAUAUGUUCAUAACAGAGAGAGAGCAGAGAGUCUAUAUUGUUUCAGAGAUGGAUAUUUUAAGGCUAUUUAUCUUGAAAAUCAUAUAAGUUUAGAAUAUCUAAUUUUGUAUAUAUAUUCAUGAGUGGUGGAAGUUGAGUUUGUUAGUCUUGACUUCUUGAUCUUUGGCUUUUCUCACAAGUUGAGUAAUUUAUAUGUAGAUUAUAUGCAAUGGGUAACUGAAGGUGCAAUUUUCAAUUGACUUAUUGUAUGCAUGCUAUCAGUGUUUUGUCAUGUAAUUGUAUUUUUUGGACAGUUGCACGAAUGUCUGUAUGGAAAGGGUGCAAUUGAUUCCACUCACAAUCAUGAAUAUUUCAUUGAUAUGCUAAACUUAUAUUUGCUCAUAUUGAUGCCUCCUUUGUUUCUGCAUAAUUCUUCUUUGUUGCUGCAAGGUGAGUGCUCUUUUGUAGCUAUGGUCAUUCCGUUUGUUUAUUGCAUGAAGAGUCAAUAUUUUGGAUGAACGAUUGCUUUUCAGUUUGCAUUCGAAAGCCUCAUGCAAGAGACUGUUGCAUCAAUGGCCCGAUAAUAUGUGCGCAGCAUCAUAUCAUCUGUUCAGAGGGUCGCCUUAGCUCUCUCUUCGGUUCACCUUGUACCUAAUGCUGGUCUUCGGUCACCCAUCUGUGGUUCCAUAUUUUUUAUUGAAUGGAUAACUGAGUUUUUUUAUUGGAUGAAUAACUAACUUUUGUUUUUUGUUGAAAGGGCUAUUUUUAUAUUCAAUGCCAAAUUGGAGAAAAGAGAUUAAAAAAAACAACCUAUUUGGGAUAUUAUAAAGGAUGUGUUACAUGAAACAAAUUAUUGAAGAGCUUAUGAAGAAUGGUCGCUUUUGCCUAUACAUUCACAUGAUAUUGGUGAAGUUCGUGUUGAGUGGGUGAAUCUCAUUCUUAGUCACAUAUAAAAAGUAGAGGAUAUGCUGGAAAUGAAGCAAAAACAGGAGAGACUUUUGCCGUAGUCUCAAACAAGAAAGAGAAUGAGAAGGAAGCAAAAACAGGAGAGACUCCGUCCAAUAUAUAUUUUUUUUCGAUUUCACGGGUGGGUCCCACUCUACGGAUAUAAACUGCCAAUUGAAGGAUAAAAAGAGCAAAAUACGCAUAAGAUUCCUAUUUUUUGAAGUUUCAAUUGAUGGAUUAUAUUCUUAGUGGCAGUCAGUAUAUAAGCAAAAUAUUUUAUAACCCAUGAUCAAAUUUACGAAAUAACACACUUGAAUUUUGGAAAU